AUAGUCUCGUUGGUGACCAGCGGAGGGACAUUACCGAGUUUACAACUCCCAAACCCAAUGUGAACGUUACCAAACUGUUGCCUCGGCGGGAUCUCUGCCCCGGGUGCGUCGCAGCCCCGGACCAAGGCGCCCGCCGGAGGACCAACCAAAACUCUUAUUGUAUACCCCCUCGCGGGUUUUUUACUAUCUGAGCCAUCUCGGCGCCCCUCGUGGGCGUUUCGAAAAUGAAUCAAAACUUUCAACAACGGAUCUCUUGGUUCUGGCAUCGAUGAAGAACGCAGCGAAAUGCGAUAAGUAAUGUGAAUUGCAGAAUUCAGUGAAUCAUCGAAUCUUUGAACGCACAUUGCGCCCGCCAGUAUUCUGGCGGGCAUGCCUGUCCGAGCGUCAUUUCAACCCUCGAACCCCUCCGGGGGGUCGGCGUUGGGGAUCGGCCCUUUACGGGGCCGGCCCCGAAAUACAGUGGCGGUCUCGCCGCAGCCUCUCCUGCGCAGUAGUUUGCACACUCGCAUCGGGAGCGCGGCGCGUCCACAGCCGUUAAACACCCCAAACUUCUGAAAUGUUGACCUCGGAUCAGGUAGGAAUACCCGCUGAACUUAAGCAUAC
RNAcentral lists this ribosomal RNA (603 nucleotides) under Trichoderma virens. RNAcentral's name for it is "eukaryotic LSU rRNA". The stretch from base 234 to 387 matches the Rfam family "5.8S ribosomal RNA". Lineage: Eukaryota; Fungi; Ascomycota; Sordariomycetes; Hypocreales; Hypocreaceae. The record is from RNAcentral.